AAAACGACUCUCGGCAACGGAUAUCUCGGCUCUCGCAUCGAUGAAGAACGUAGCGAAAUGCGAUACUUGGUGUGAAUUGCAGAAUCCCGUGAACCAUCGAGUCUUUGAACGCAAGUUGCGCCCCAAGCCAUUAGGCCGAGGGCACGCCUGCCUGGGUGUCAC
Molecule: ribosomal RNA, 162 nt
Filed under: Acer buergerianum (trident maple)
Lineage: Eukaryota; Viridiplantae; Streptophyta; Magnoliopsida; Sapindales; Sapindaceae
Description: 5.8S ribosomal RNA
Rfam family: 5.8S ribosomal RNA
About the family: 5.8S ribosomal RNA (5.8S rRNA) is a component of the large subunit of the eukaryotic ribosome. It is transcribed by RNA polymerase I as part of the 45S precursor that also contains 18S and 28S rRNA. Functionally, it is thought that 5.8S rRNA may be involved in ribosome translocation.
Source: RNAcentral